GAUCAUGGCUCAGGAUGAACGCUGGCGGCGCGCCUAACACAUGCAAGUCGAACGGCACCUAUCUUCGGAUAGAAGCGAGUGGCGAACGGCUGAGUAACACGUGGAGAACCUGCCCCCUCCCCCGGGAUAGCCGCCCGAAAGGACGGGUAAUACCGGAUACCCCCCGGGCGCCGCAUGGCGCCCGGGCUAAAGCCCCGACGGGAGGGGAUGGCUCCGCGGCCCAUCAGGUAGACGGCGGGGUGACGGCCCACCGUGCCGACAACGGGUAGCCGGG
RNAcentral lists this ribosomal RNA (274 nucleotides) under uncultured bacterium. RNAcentral describes it as "partial 16S ribosomal RNA". It matches the Rfam family "Bacterial small subunit ribosomal RNA", at positions 15 to 291 of the family's 1533-position model. The record is from RNAcentral.